Molecule: long non-coding RNA, 357 nt
Filed under: Amborella trichopoda
Lineage: Eukaryota; Viridiplantae; Streptophyta; Magnoliopsida; Amborellales; Amborellaceae
Description: long non-coding RNA (ATRI_LNC003677)
Source: RNAcentral
AAAUAUUAUAGAGAGUGACUGUUAUUAAUGGUUUAAGUGAAAUUCAUAUUAAUGAUUUUAGUGAUAUGUUGAGUACAUGAUAUUGCUGCUUUCGAAUGUUUAAAGAGAUUUAGAAAUAAUUUAAGUAUGCAAGUGGACUCAUCCGGUUCGCCGGUGAGGUAUAAGUGGACCUAUCUGGGACGCCGGUAAGGAUUAAGUGGACUCAUCUGGUACGCCGGUGAGGUAUAAGUGGACCUGCAGGGAUUAAGUGGACCUAUCUGGGAUGCCGAUAGGGAUUAAGUGGACCCAUCAGGACGCUGAUGGGGUAUAUAGGUGACCUACUUGGGACGCCAGUAGGGUAUUUUGUGAAAUCCUUUG